AGACAGUUCGGUCCCUAUCUGCCGUGGGCGCUGGAGAACUGAGGGGGGCUGCUCCUAGUACGAGAGGACCGGAGUGGACGCAUCACUGGUGUUCGGGUUGUCAUGCCAAUGGCACUGCCCGGUAGCUAAAUGCGGAAGAGAUAAGUGCUGAAAGCAUCUAAGCACGAAACUUGCCCCGAGAUGAGUUCUCCCUGAGACUUAGAGUCUCCUGAAGGAACGUUGAAGACGACGACGUUGAUAGGCCGGGUGUGUAAGCGCAGCGAUGCGUUGAGCUAACCGGUACUAAUGAACCGUGAGGCUUAACCUUAC
This 309-nucleotide ribosomal RNA is filed under the name Salmonella enterica subsp. enterica serovar Worthington str. ATCC 9607. RNAcentral's name for it is "bacterial LSU rRNA". It matches the Rfam family "Bacterial large subunit ribosomal RNA", at positions 2624 to 2925 of the family's 2925-position model. Lineage: Bacteria; Pseudomonadati; Pseudomonadota; Gammaproteobacteria; Enterobacterales; Enterobacteriaceae. The record is from RNAcentral.